This 60-nucleotide transfer RNA is filed under the name Macaca fascicularis (crab-eating macaque). RNAcentral describes it as "partial tRNA-Cys". Lineage: Eukaryota; Metazoa; Chordata; Mammalia; Primates; Cercopithecidae. The record is from RNAcentral.
AGCCCCGAGGUGAUUUUCAUGUUGAAUUGCAAGUUCAAAGGAGCAGCCUGAGGUUUUCUG